UCGAUGCAUACACAUCAAUGCCUACACAUC
RNAcentral lists this non-coding RNA (30 nucleotides) under Homo sapiens (human). Lineage: Eukaryota; Metazoa; Chordata; Mammalia; Primates; Hominidae. The record is from RNAcentral.